CCUACGGGGGGCAGCAGUGGGGAAUAUUGGACAAUGGGGGAAACCCUGAUCCAGCGACGCCGCGUGAGUGAAGAAGUAUUUCGGUACGUAAAGCUCUAUCAGCAGGAAAGAAAAUGACGGUACCUGACUAAGAAGCCCCGGCUAACUACUGGCCAGCAGCCGCGGUAAUACGUAGGGGGCAAGCGUUAUCCGGAUUUACUGAGUGUAAGGGGAGCGUAGACGGCAGGGCAAGUCUGGAGUGAAAUGCCGGGGCCUAACCCCGGAACUGCCCUGGAUACCGUGAAGCUGGAGUGCAGGAGCGGCAAGCGGAAUUACUGGUGUAGCGGUGAAAUGCGUAGAUAUCAGGAGGAACACCGGCGGCGAAGGCGGCUUACUGGACUGUAACUGACGUUGAGGCUCGAAGGCGUGGGGAGCAAACAGGAUUAGAUACCCUGGUAGUC
RNAcentral lists this ribosomal RNA (440 nucleotides) under uncultured bacterium. Its description in RNAcentral is "partial 16S ribosomal RNA". It matches the Rfam family "Bacterial small subunit ribosomal RNA", at positions 338 to 795 of the family's 1533-position model. The record is from RNAcentral.